Molecule: ribosomal RNA, 253 nt
Filed under: uncultured bacterium
Lineage: Bacteria
Description: partial 16S ribosomal RNA
Rfam family: Bacterial small subunit ribosomal RNA
Source: RNAcentral
CACGGGGGGGGUAAGCGUUGUUCGGAAUUACUGGGCGUAAAGGGCUCGUAGGCGGCCAACUAAGUCGGACGUGAAAUCCCUCAGCUUAACUGGGGAACUGCGUCUGAUACUGGAUGGCUUGGAUUUGGGAGAGGGAUGCGGAAUUCCAGGUGUAGCGGUGAAAUGCGUAGAUAUCUGGAGGAACACCGGUGGCGAAGGCGGCAUCCUGGACCAACAUUGACGCUGAGGAGCGAAAGCCAGGGGAGCAAACGGG